GUAUGUUACCAGGCUUCAAAUCACAGUGCACCACAGCUAUCGGGCAAUGGUGAUGCAGAUAUUCCAGUGCAAGCGCCACGUCCAUCAUAAUGUGAAUUCUCUGAUUCAGGUUUAAGUAGUAGUUAUGAGAAUAUAGCCAUUUCUCAAGGCUCCCUUGCGGCAUAUAUUGAAGAAUUAGGGCUUUGACCUCUGGGCUAGAGCACGUGCUUAUAAUCUUAACUAGAUUUCUGUGCUUGGCAGUGCUCAGUACUUCGCAUUCUGCAUCAAAACUUGCCGACGCUUUGCUCGAUUGAAGGUUCAGUAUUUUAAUGGCAACGAGCAGUCCAUCAUCCAACCGACCUUUGUAGACCAACCCAAAACUUCCUGAACCGAGCAAGUUUGUCUCAUUGAAAUUGUCGGUUGCAUAAAUAAGCUCUUGGUACGAAAUUCUUCUGUGGUUUUUCACAUCCAACUGAUUAACAGUAGUAGUUGUCUUAAUCUUUUUUCUUUUAAACAUGAGUAGUAGGAGGAGGCCAGCUGAAAAGAUGACGACUGCUGCAAUUGUU
This 545-nucleotide long non-coding RNA is filed under the name Ananas comosus (pineapple). Its description in RNAcentral is "long non-coding RNA (ACOM_LNC018735)". Lineage: Eukaryota; Viridiplantae; Streptophyta; Magnoliopsida; Poales; Bromeliaceae. The record is from RNAcentral.